GUCGCCAGCCGCCGCGGAAACUUCCAGCUCCAAUAGACGUAAGGGUAUUACCCAGGAGUUGGCUUGCAGCUUAAAAAGCUCGUAGUUGAACUUCAGACACUGGGAAACUCACCGGGUGGUCUGCCUAACGGUAUGUACUAGGUCUGGCUGGGUGUUACCUCUUGGUGAGCCGGCAUGCCUUUCACUGGGUGUGUCGGGGAACCAUGGCCGUUCUUACCUUGAGAAAAUUAGAGUGAUUUCAAAGUCAGGUCUAUGCCGAUAACGAACGAGACAUUAGCAUGGCAUAAUAAAAUAGGACGUGCGGKUCUAUUUUGUUGGUCGCCGUCUUCUUAGAGUCGCCGUAAUGCGUCUAGCAGACGGAUAGUUUGAGGCAAUAGUAUUCAGUUGCUAGAGGUGAUGCCCUUAGAUGUUCUGAGGACGAACUGCUGCGAAACACUGACAGAGCCAGCGAGUUUUUUUCCUUAAUCAAGGCCGGAAGGUCUAGGUAAUCUUGUGAAACUCUGUCGUGCUGGGGAUAGAGCAUUGCAAUUAUUGCUCUUCAACGAGGAAUUCCUAGUAAGCCGACUGAGUCAUCGGCUCGCGACUUAAUUAUACGUCCCUGCCCUUUGCACUCACCGCCCGUCAAUCCC
Molecule: ribosomal RNA, 629 nt
Filed under: uncultured organism
Description: partial small subunit ribosomal RNA
Rfam family: Eukaryotic small subunit ribosomal RNA
Source: RNAcentral